UACGAAGGGGGCGAGCGUUUGUUCGGAUUUACUGGGCGUAAAGGGCGCGCAGGCGGCUCAUUUUGUCAGGCGUGAAAGCCCCGGGCUUAACCUGGGAACUGCGUUUGAUACGGAUGGGCUAGAGUUCGGGAGAGGAGAGUGGAAUUCCCAGUGUAGAGGUGAAAUUCGUAGAUAUUGGGAAGAACACCGGUGGCGAAGGCGGCUCUCUGGGGCAACAACUGACGCUGAGGAGCGAAAGCGUGGGGAGCGAACGAGG
This 256-nucleotide ribosomal RNA is filed under the name uncultured bacterium. RNAcentral describes it as "partial 16S ribosomal RNA". It matches the Rfam family "Bacterial small subunit ribosomal RNA", at positions 524 to 777 of the family's 1533-position model. The record is from RNAcentral.